Zea mays is the source of this 153-nucleotide non-coding RNA. The record is from Rfam. NCBI's taxonomy places the organism in Eukaryota, Viridiplantae, Streptophyta, Magnoliopsida, Poales, Poaceae.
AUGACUAGAGCCGCUCCGAGUAGCCAAGGAAGACAUGCCUACACUAUACAUGCUCAGCGUCACAAGAGACUGGCUCUCAGGCAUGUAGCCAUAGCCCAUGCAUAUAUACCUAGGCAAGUCAUCCUUGGCUACUGAACGAAUCAGCUCUGGUCC